AAACUUUGCAAUACACGAAAGUGUGACAGGGCUAUCCCGAGUGCCGUCCGCUGAGGAUGGCUUUUACCCAGUCUAGCAAGCUGGGGGAAUAAGGAGAGGGCAAGUCUGGUGUCAGCCGCCGCGGUAAUACCAGCUCUCCGAGUGGUGUGGAUGUUUAUUGGGCCUAAAGCAUCCGUAGCUGGCUGUUCAAGUCCCCUGUUAAACCCAGCGAUUUAAUCGUUGGUUUGCGGGGGAUACUGUUCGGCUAGGGGGCGGGAGAGGCAGACGGUAUUUUCGGGGUAGGGGUGAAAUCCUAUAAUCCCGGGAAGACCACCAGUGGCGAAGGCUGUCUGCUAGAACGCGCCCGACGGUGAGGGAUGAAAGCUGGGGGAGCGAACCGGAUUAGAUACCCGGGUAGUCCCAGCUGUAAACUAUGCAGGCUAGGUGUUUGGGCGGCCACGUGCCGCUCUAGUGCCGCAGGGAAGCUGUUAAGCCUGCCGCCUGGGGAGUACGGCCGCAAGGCUGAAACUUAAAGGAAUUGGCGGGGGAGCACCACAAGGGGUGAAGCUUGCGGUUUAAUUGGAGUCAACGCCGGAAAUCUCACCGGGAGCGACAGCAGAUUGAAAGCCAGAUUGAAGGUCUUGCUGGACGAGCUGAGAGGAGGUGCAUGGCCGUCGCCAGUUCGUGCCGUGAGGUGUCCUGUUAAGUCAGGCAACGAUCGAGACCCGCGUCCUCUGUUGCUACUAGUUUUGCGCUAGGCACACUGAGGAGACCGCCGCUGAUAAAGCGGAGGAAGGAGCGGGCCACGGCAGGUCAGUAUGCCCCGAAUCUCCCGGGCCACACGCGAGCUGCAAUGGCAGGUACAAUGAGUUCCGACCCUGAAAGGGGGAGGCAAUCUCGAAAGCCUGCCGUAGUUGGGAUCGAAGGCUGAAACCCGCCUUCGUGAACAUGGAAUCCCUAGUAAUCGCGUGUCACUAGCGCGCGGUGAAUACGUCCCUGCUCCUUGCACACACCGCCCGUCGUUCCACCCGAGCGACUCUUGGGUGAGGCGUGGUCUUUGUUGGCUGCGUCGAAUCUGAGUUUCGUAAGGGGGGAA
This 1075-nucleotide ribosomal RNA is filed under the name uncultured archaeon. RNAcentral describes it as "bacterial SSU rRNA". It matches the Rfam family "Archaeal small subunit ribosomal RNA", at positions 345 to 1429 of the family's 1478-position model. The record is from RNAcentral.